AUUGAACGCUGGCGGCAUGCCUUACACAUGCAAGUCGAACGGUAACGGGCCUUCGGGUGCCGACGAGUGGCGAACGGGUGAGUAAUACAUCGGAACGUGCCCGAUCGUGGGGGAUAACGAGGCGAAAGCUUUGCUAAUACCGCAUACGAUCUACGGAUGAAAGCAGGGGACCGCAAGGCCUUGCGCGGACGGAGCGGCCGAUGGCAGAUUAGGUAGUUGGUGGGAUAAAAGCUUACUAAGCCGACGAUCUGUAGCUGGUCUGAGAGGAUGAUCAGCCACACUGGGACUGAGACACGGCCCAGACUCCUACGGGAGGCAGCAGUGGGGAAUUUUGGACAAUGGGCGCAAGCCUGAUCCAGCCAUGCCGCGUGCAGGAUGAAGGCCUUCGGGUUGUAAACUGCUUUUGUACGGAACGAAAAGCCUUCUUUUAAUACAGGAGGGUCAUGACGGUACCGUAAGAAUAAGCACCGGCUAACUACGUG
This 482-nucleotide ribosomal RNA is filed under the name uncultured bacterium. Its description in RNAcentral is "partial 16S ribosomal RNA". It matches the Rfam family "Bacterial small subunit ribosomal RNA", at positions 30 to 507 of the family's 1533-position model. The record is from RNAcentral.